AUUGAACGCUGGCGGCAGGCCUAACACAUGCAAGUCGAACGGUAACAGGAAGCAGCUUGCUGCUUCGCUGACGAGUGGCGGACGGGUGAGUAAUGUCUGGGAAGCUGCCUGAUGGAGGGGGAUAACUACUGGAAACGGUAGCUAGUACCGCAUAAUGUCGCAAGACCAAAGAGGGGGACCUUCGGGCCUCUUGCCAUCGGAUGUGCCCAGAUGGGAUUAGCUUGUUGGUGGGGUAACGGCUCACCAAGGCGACGAUCCCUAGCUGGUCUGAGAGGAUGACCAGCCACACUGGAACUGAGACACGGUCCAGACUCCUACGGGAGGCAGCAGUGGGGAAUAUUGCACAAUGGGCGCAAGCCUGAUGCAGCCAUGCCGCGUGUAUGAAGAAGGCCUUCGGGUUGUAAAGUACUUUCAGCGGGGAGGAAGGGAGUAAAGUUAAUACCUUUGCUCAUUGACGUUACCCGCAGAAGAAGCACCGGCUAACUCCGUG
This 490-nucleotide ribosomal RNA is filed under the name uncultured bacterium. Its description in RNAcentral is "partial 16S ribosomal RNA". It matches the Rfam family "Bacterial small subunit ribosomal RNA", at positions 30 to 507 of the family's 1533-position model. The record is from RNAcentral.